Long non-coding RNA from Cyprinodon tularosa, 377 nucleotides. RefSeq lists it as uncharacterized. Lineage: Eukaryota; Metazoa; Chordata; Actinopteri; Cyprinodontiformes; Cyprinodontidae. The transcript is spliced from 3 exons. The record is from RefSeq and is a predicted model, not a curated record.
CAGCUGCCAGACCUUCCUUCAACGCCGCAGUGUUGACCAAGUUUGGAAACCUGUCUCUUGUCUGAAGCUCUGGAUGAGCUUAGCCUGUUACCUGCCUGCCUGCCCUAGAGAGCCAAACCUGAAGAUCUCACUCUGGAAUCCAUCUGCUGCUCUCAGGGAAAGAGCUGAUCAGUUAAACCAAGGUCUGUCACUGGAAAGUCAGAAGCUAGACGCUGCUGCUGCUGAGCACUCUGCUGAACCAACAGUCUCUGGACCCAACCGGUUCCCUCUCUCAAAGGAGAAAGCCUGAACCUAUUCAAGACGCCAGAGAAUCCUGCCCGGACCAGUUUCCUGAAUCCAGUCCUUGUUAAUAUUGUGAAAUCUUUCAAUAAACUCUG